GUGUCAGCCGCCGCGGUAAUACGUAGGUGGCAAGCGUUAUCCGGAAUUACUGGGUGUAAAGGGUGUGUAGGCGGUAUUACAAGUCAGAUGUGAAAUUCAUGGGCUCAACCCGUGAACUGCAUUUGAAACUGUAGUUCUUGAGAGUCGGAGAGGUUAACGGAAUUCCCGGUGUAGCGGAGAAAUGCGUAGAUAUCGGGAGGACCACCAGUGGCGAAGGCGGUUAACUGGACGACAACUGACGCUGAGACACGAAAGCGUGGGGAGCAAACAGGAGUAGAUACCCUGGUAGUCCACGCUGUAAACGAUGAAUGCUAGGUGUAGGUGUGGAUACACAUCUGUGCCGGAGUAAACACAAUAAGCAUUCCACCUGGGGAGUACGGCCGCAAGGUUGAAACUCAAAUGAAUUGGCGG
RNAcentral lists this ribosomal RNA (411 nucleotides) under uncultured bacterium. RNAcentral describes it as "bacterial SSU rRNA". It matches the Rfam family "Bacterial small subunit ribosomal RNA", at positions 505 to 916 of the family's 1533-position model. The record is from RNAcentral.